Molecule: ribosomal RNA, 425 nt
Filed under: uncultured bacterium
Lineage: Bacteria
Description: bacterial SSU rRNA
Rfam family: Bacterial small subunit ribosomal RNA
Source: RNAcentral
GUGGGGAAUAUUGGACAAUGGGCGCAAGCCUGAUCCAGCCAUGCCGCGUGAGUGAAGAAGGCCUUCGGGUUGUAAAGCUCUUUUGUACGGGAAGAAACACGGCCGGUUAAUACCCGGCUGGACUGACGGUACCGUAAGAAUAAGCACCGGCUAACUUCGUGCCAGCAGCCGCGGUAAUACGAAGGGUGCAAGCGUUACUCGGAAUUACUGGGCGUAAAGCGUGCGUAGGUGGUGCGUUAAGUCCGAUGUGAAAGCCCUGGGCUCAACCUGGGAAUGGCAUUGGAUACUGGCGUGCUCGAGUACGGUAGAGGGUGGCGGAAUUCCCGGUGUAGCAGUGAAAUGCGUAGAGAUCGGGAGGAACAUCCGUGGCGAAGGCGGCCACCUGGACCAGUACUGACACUGAGGCACGAAAGCGUGGAGAGCAA